This 23-nucleotide non-coding RNA is filed under the name Cricetulus griseus (Chinese hamster). The record is from RNAcentral. Lineage: Eukaryota; Metazoa; Chordata; Mammalia; Rodentia; Cricetidae. RNAcentral also lists the same sequence under 1 other name.
GCUUGGCUGAGGAGCCAAUGGGG